UGUGUGUGUGUGUUCGCAAGAUGGCAUCUUUUUCUCUGUUUUCAAAUCCUUGCUGCUCUUUGCUCAAGUCCUGAGGAGUCCCACUGUCAACUCAAAUGAUUCCCAAAAGUUGUUUUUCUUCACUUUACUUCUUUGUCUGUCUUCUCCUAGCCAGCAUGAGCCAGUAAUGUCACUAAACGUAGUCAGGAGUUUCCUGCAACUCUCUCAUGACGAAGGAAAUUUGUCUUAAAUUCUUCAUUCUUGAGAUAUGGUAGCUCAAACAUCGCUUACCGCGACAGUUUACACG
Amphimedon queenslandica is the source of this 286-nucleotide long non-coding RNA. RefSeq lists it as uncharacterized. NCBI's taxonomy places the organism in Eukaryota, Metazoa, Porifera, Demospongiae, Haplosclerida, Niphatidae. The transcript is spliced from 2 exons. The record is from RefSeq and is a predicted model, not a curated record.